This 911-nucleotide ribosomal RNA is filed under the name uncultured archaeon. RNAcentral describes it as "bacterial SSU rRNA". It matches the Rfam family "Archaeal small subunit ribosomal RNA", at positions 5 to 925 of the family's 1478-position model. The record is from RNAcentral.
UGGUUGAUCUUGCCGGACCCGACUGCUAUCAGAGUGGGACUAAGCCAUGCGAGUCAACGUAGCAAUGCGUGGCGAACGGCUCAGUAACACGUAGUCAACAUGCCCAGGGGACGUGGAUAACCUCGGGAAACUGAGAUUAAACCGCGAUAGGUCAAGAUUUCUGGAAUGGAUCGUGUCUUAAAUCUACAUGGCCCCUGGAUUGGACUGCGGCCGAUCAGGCUGUUGGUGAGGUAAUGGCCCACCAAACCUAUAACCGGUACGGGCUCUGAGAGGAGAAGCCCGGAGAUGGGCACUGAGACAAGGGCCCAGGCCCUAUGGGGCGCAGCAGGCGCGAAACCUCUGCAAUGGGCGAAAGCCUGACAGGGUUACUCUGAGUGAUUUCCGCUAAGGAGAUCUUUUGGCAGCUCUAAAAAUGGUGCAGAAUAAGGGGUGGGCAAGUCUGGUGUCAGCCGCCGCGGUAAUACCAGCACCCCGAGUGGUCGGGACGAUUAUUGGGCCUAAAGCAUCCGUAGCCGGUUGCGCAAGUCCUCCGUUAAAUCCAGCAGCUCAACGGAUGGGCUGCGGAGGAUACUACAGGACUAGGAGGCGGGAGAGGCAAGCGGUACUUAGUGGGUAGGGGUAAAAUCCUUUGAUCCAUUGAAGACCACCAGUGGCGAAGGCGGCUUGCCAGAACGCGCUCGACGGUGAGGGAUGAAAGCUGGGGGAGCAAACCGGAUUAGAUACCCGGGUAGUCCCAGCUGUAAACGAUGCAGACUCGGUGAUGGGCUAGCCUCGUGUCAGCCCAGUGCCGCAGGGAAGCCGUUAAGUCUGCCGCCUGGGGAGUACGGUCGCAAGACUGAAACUUAAAGGAAUUGGCGGGGGAGCACCACAAGGGGUGAAGCCUGCGGUUCAUUGGAGUNCACGCCGGGACU